AUGAACGCUGGCGGCGUGCUUAACACAUGCAAGUCGAACGGUGAAGGCGGAGCUUGCUCUGCUGGAUCAGUGGCGAACGGGUGAGUAACACGUGAGCAAUCUGCCCCUGACUCUGGGAUAAGCGCUGGAAACGGCGUCUAAUACUGGAUACGAGCUGCGAAGGCAUCUUCAGCAGCUGGAAAGAACUUCGGUCAGGGAUGAGCUCGCGGCCUAUCAGCUUGUUGGUGAGGUAACGGCUCACCAAGGCGUCGACGGGUAGCCGGCCUGAGAGGGUGACCGGCCACACUGGGACUGAGACACGGCCCAGACUCCUACGGGAGGCAGCAGUGGGGAAUAUUGCACAAUGGGCGAAAGCCUGAUGCAGCAACGCCGCGUGAGGGACGACGGCCUUCGGGUUGUAAACCUCUUUUAGCAGGGAAGAAGCGAAAGUGACGGUACCUGCAGAAAAAGCGCCGGCUAACUGCGUG
This 467-nucleotide ribosomal RNA is filed under the name uncultured bacterium. RNAcentral describes it as "partial 16S ribosomal RNA". It matches the Rfam family "Bacterial small subunit ribosomal RNA", at positions 29 to 507 of the family's 1533-position model. The record is from RNAcentral.